This 433-nucleotide ribosomal RNA is filed under the name uncultured bacterium. RNAcentral's name for it is "partial 16S ribosomal RNA". It matches the Rfam family "Bacterial small subunit ribosomal RNA", at positions 29 to 507 of the family's 1533-position model. The record is from RNAcentral.
AAUGAACGCUGGCGGCAUGCCUAACACAUGCAAGUCGAACGAGACCUUCGGGUCUAGUCGCGCCCGGGUGCGUAACGCGUGGGAACCUGCCCUUAGGUUCGGAAUACCUCCCCGAAAGGGGUGCUAAUACCGGAUAAUGUCUUCGGACCAAAGAUUUAUUGCCUUUGGAUGGUCCCGCGUUGGAUUAGCUAGUUGGUAGGGUAAAAGCCUACCACGGCGACGAUCCAUAGCUGGUCUGAGAGGAUGAUCAGCCACACUGGGACUGAGACACGGCCCAGACUCAUACGGGAGGCAGCAGUGGGGAAUAUUGGAAAGUGGGCGAAAGCCUGAUCGAGCUAGGCCGCGUGAGUGAUGAAAGUAUUAGGGUUGUAAAGCUCUUUUACCCGGGAUGAUAAUGACAGUACCGGGAGAAUAAGCCCCGGCUAACUCCGUG